This is a regulatory RNA element of Cavia porcellus (domestic guinea pig), 59 nucleotides long. It matches the Rfam family "Antizyme RNA frameshifting stimulation element". Rfam says of the family: This family represents a structural element which is found in antizyme mRNA and is known to promote frameshifting. Antizyme genes have have two partially overlapping open reading frames, the second, which encodes the functional protein requires +1 translational frameshifting. This frameshift is stimulated by a pseudoknot present 3' of the frameshift site in the antizyme mRNA. NCBI's taxonomy places the organism in Eukaryota, Metazoa, Chordata, Mammalia, Rodentia, Caviidae. The record is from Rfam.
UGAUGCCCCUCACCCACCCCUGAGGAUCCCAGGUGGGCGAGGGAAUGGUCAGCGGGAUC